CCCUUAGAUGUUCUGGGCCGCACGCGCGCUACACUGAUUCAUUCAUCAAGUCUAUAACCUUGGUAGAAAUGCUUGGGUAAUCUUUGAAACUGAAUCGUGCUGGGGAUUGGAGCUUGUAAUUAUUCUCCAUGAACGAGGAAUUCCUAGUAAACGCGAGUCAUCAGCUCGCAUUGAUUACGUCCCUGCCCUUUGUACACACCGCCCGUCGCUCCUACCGAUUGAAUGUUCCGGUGAGCUCUUCGGACUGCGCGGUCUGCAGUUUCUGCGUUCCGUGCGGAAAGUUGCGCAAACCUUAACAUUUAGAGGAAGGAGAAGUCGUAACA
This 323-nucleotide ribosomal RNA is filed under the name uncultured eukaryote. RNAcentral's name for it is "partial 18S ribosomal RNA". It matches the Rfam family "Eukaryotic small subunit ribosomal RNA", at positions 1470 to 1796 of the family's 1831-position model. The record is from RNAcentral.